Molecule: ribosomal RNA, 279 nt
Filed under: uncultured bacterium
Lineage: Bacteria
Description: partial 16S ribosomal RNA
Rfam family: Bacterial small subunit ribosomal RNA
Source: RNAcentral
UGCCAGCCGCCGCGGUAAUACGGAGGAUCCAAGCGUUAUCCGGAAUUAUUGGGUUUAAAGGGUCCGCAGGCUGUUUGUUAAGUCAGGGGUGAAAUCCUACCGCUCAACGGUAGAACUGCCUUUGAUACUGGCAAACUUGAGUUAUUGUGAAGUAGUUAGAAUUCAUAGUGUAGCGGUGGAAUGCGUAGAUAUUAUGAAGAAUACCAGUGGCGAAGGCGGCCUCCUGGAUCUGUACUGACACUGAGGUGCGAAAGCGUGGGUAGCGAACAGGAUUAGAUA